CAAAAUUAUAAAACUAAGGUAUCAAUUCAGGUUAAGCAUCGGAAAAGACACAAGUAUCCAUGAACUAUAAACGAAAUUUCACGAACACAUCUUAAUUUUAUAGAGGUUUUAUUGCCACUGAAAUAUUUUGAAGUGUAAAAUACGUACACUCUUGGAAGCGCAAAAAAUAUGGGAAAGAUUUGAUCCAUAUAGACACAUAUCCUUUUCGAAUUAGACACUUUAUAAUUAGUUAAUACACACAAUUAUUAUUAUUAUUUUUUAAAUUUCAGAAUAAUUCGCAAUCGGUACAACUUCUGUCACAGUAUUUGCCCUUCAAGUGAGCACUUUGUGCGCACUGAAAAAAACCCCACUCAAAACACAUAAUUACAAACAGUAAAACUUAUGUGUUUCAAUUAUUUUUUCCCUCCAUUUCAUAUUAGUUGUUGUUGAGUUUAAUUGGUGUGAAUGGAAAAUUGAGGGACACAACCUUUGAAGAAAAGACAUAUGCUUUUGGAAAAGGAGUGACUGUUCAGAUAAUUGUGUCUGUUCAGAAAAAGACACAAUGUUUCAAAUGAACAGACAUGACUCAUCCAAAGAAUACACCUUUUGGGAUGAACCAUUGCCACCUUUCGUAAGGGGCACUUGAUGACUAUAUAAACCUACAUUUAUCCAUAGGUUUAGUAAUGAAAUUUUUUCUGCAAUAAAGCUCUUCUUGUUUUCUGAAAAUAUACUCUGUGUGAUCAUCUAAUCGUUGAGUGAGUUCGAAGAGAAUCCGAUCGUUUGAGGUACCACUACAGUCGGAUUGUUGGGCAAUUUAUCCUAGGAGAAAAAUUCGCAACCUCGAGUAUUUGAGAGGAAUUAUUUCCAUAAGGACACUUCGUGAAUUCGAAGGACUUGUCCUUUUCUAUUUCAUCUAAUUUUCUUAAAAGAAAAAAAAUACUUCUUUGAAAGGUCUUUUUGAUCUUGUGUUGAGGCUGUUAUAUAACUUCAUAGGUGUUCUUGUUUUUAGACUUGAACUUGUGUUGAAGUUGUUGUGCCUAAGUACAGAUUAUUGUACCCGAAAUCAUUGGAAACAACAAUCUUAAGAAAAUAAAUUUGAAUUUUUUAUUUUAUUUUUUGCUUGUUUGGUGAAAUUUUCUUUUCACUGAAUUUUUUUUUUCGGAAUCUGUAUUGCUUGGUUUCUGGAGAUUAAAACUUUUUGCUUUCUACUCCGUUUGAACUUAAUUAGUGAUUUGAAGAAAUAAAAUCUUUAUCACAAGUUAAAGAUCACUCGGUUGACGAUUGGAAGUCACAAAAACUUCAUCGUUAAACUAGAAACAAAUGGUGUUUAAAGUUGCUGCAACUUUAUUGAUUAGUAUUUUGAUAUACUAAAUUUUUUGUCUUGUUGUGACAGGAAAAUGACUACGGAUAGUCAAAUGCAUGAUGUUGGAACGACUAUGGCAGUAACUAGUAUUUCCACGACGAGUCGUACUAAUGCUCCGCAAGCUAUGACACAGGCGGAGAAACACGAAAAGUUCGCGGGUAUUGACUUCAAGAGGUGGCAUAAAAAAAUGUUUUUCUACCUCACAACACUUUAUCUUCAAAGGUUCACGUUUAAGGAAGUUCCGGAGGUGCCCUGGGGAACCUCUGAACAAGAGCGAUUAGUGAUUGUGGAGGCUUGAAAACACUCAGAUUUCCUUUGCAGGAAUUACAUCUUGAGUGGUCUCUAAGAUGACCUAUACAAUGUGUAUAUUGGAACAAAGACAGUAAAAGAGUUAUGGGGAGCGCUAGAACGGAAGUGCAAGAUAGAGGAUGCAGGAACUAAAAAGUUCUUUGUUGCAAGAUUCCUGGAAUAUAAAAUAAUAGACAGCAAGUCUGUUGUUUCCCAAGUGUAGGAACUGCAAGUGAUCAUCCAUGAUCUCCUUGCAGAAGGUCUGAUCGUAAAUGAACCGUUUCAAGUAGCAUCAAUAAUGGAGAAGAUACCACCUAUGUGGAAGGACUUCAAGAACUAUUUGAAACACAAACGUAAGGAGAUUCCAGUCGAAGAUCUAAUUGUACGACUGUGCAUUGAAGAAGAUAAUAAGGGUAUGAAAAAAAGGUCAAGAGGAAAUUCUACAAUGAAUAGAGCAAAUAUUGUAGAAGAUCACUACAACUCCAAAGAGCGAAAGAAGGCUGAAAAUGAAAGCAACUAACCCAAGAAGAAAUUCAAGGGAAAAGGCUUCAACUAUUGCAAGAUUGACCACAAAUCAAUAUAUUGUCGGGCCCCUAAGAAAGGCAAGAAAAAGGACCAAGCAAAUGUGGCUGAGUCCAAGAAAGAAAUAGAUGAUAUAUGUGUCAUGCUUUCCGAAUGCAACUUGGUGGGAAAUCAUCGCGAAUGGUGGAUGGAUUCCGGUGCCACCCGCCAUGUUUGUGCUAAUAAGGAGUUGUUUUCAACGUUUGCUCCAGCUUAAGGAGAAGAAAAAAUCUUCAUGGCUAACUCCGCUACUGCAAAAGUAGAAGGAACAGGAAAAGUAUGCUUGAAAAUGACUUCAGACAAAUUAUUGACACUCAACAAUGUCCUGUACGUACCGGAGUUAAGAAAGAAUUUGAUUUCUAUAUCACUUCUAGAUAAAAAUGGAUUCAAAUGUGUAAUUUUUUUUGAAAAAGUUGUAAUUAGCAAAGGAGAAGUGUAUGUAGAAAAAGGCUAUCUCACUGAGGGCCUAUAUAAGAUGAAUGUAAUGAAUAUUGAAAUCAAUAAAAGUUCUGCUUCUUCUUACUUGCUUAAGCCUUAUGAUUUAUGGAAUUAAUGAUUAGGCCAUGUUAAUUACAAAACAUUGCAAAAACUGAUUAACUUAGAAGUUUUGCCAAACUUUGAGUGUAAUAAAUCAAAAUGUCAAACGUGUGUGGAAUCAAAGUAUGCUAAGAAUUCGUAUAAGUCAGUUGAAAGAAAUUUCAAUCCCUUAGACUUAAUCCAUACUGAUAUUUGUGAUAUGAAGUCAACACCAUCUCGUGGUGGAAAAAAGUAUUUUAUAACUUUUAUUGACGAUUGCACUAGAUACUAUUAUGUCUAUUUGCUAAAUAGUAAGGAUGAAGCAAUAGAUGCAUUUAGGCAAUAUAAAACUGAAGUUGAAAUCAGUUAGAGAAAAAGAUAAAAUGAUAAGAAGUGAUAAGGGCGGAGAAUAUGAAUCUCCUUUUGCCGAAAUAUAAAUAGAGAAUGAAAUUGUCCAUCAAACUACAACCUCAUAUUCAACCCAGUCUAAUGGAAUUGUAGAAAGGAAAAAUCAAACUUUGAAGAAAAUAAUGAAUGCCUUACUUAUAAGUUUAAGUUAACCGCAAAAUUGGUGGGAGAAAGUUAUCCUUACAGCCAACCAUAUACUUAAUAGAGUUCCCAUAGUAAGACACAAUCAAUUUCUUAUGAAAAAUGGAAAAGAAGGAAACCCAACUUAGAAUAUUUCAAAAUGUGAGGGUGUCUAGCGAAGGUCCAAAUUCCUAUGCCUAAAAGGGUUAAGAUAGGACCUAAGAUGGUGGACUGUGUGUUCAUAGGAUAUGCUAAAGUAGCAAAGCAUGUUGGUUUUUGGUUCAUAAAUUCAAAUAUCCGGAUAUUAAUGAAAAUACGGUAAUUCAAUCAGAUAAUGCUGAAUUCUGUGAAAACAUUUAUCCAUAUAAAACUAAACAUGAACAGUUUAGUGGGGGGUCUAAACGACCUCAAGAUGAACCAAGUGAGAAUGUACAUAAUGAUGAAAAUCCAAGAUGUAGUACACAUCAAAGAAUGUCAACUUCAUUUGGAUCAGAUUUUGUAAUAUUUCUCUUAGAAAAUGAGCCUCAAACUUUUAAAAAAAUGAUGUCGUCGUCAGACUUAUCCUUUUGAAAAAAGGUGGUCAAUAAUGAGAUUGAUUCAAUCUUAAGCAACCAUAUGUGGGAGUUGGUUGAUCUUUCUCCAGGAAAUAAACCUUUAGGUUCUAAAUGGAUCUUCAAAAGAAAAAUAAAAACGGAUGGUACUAUUGACAAAUAUAAGGCAAAACUUAUAGUAAAAGGCUUCAAACAGAAAGAAGGCCUUGAUUACUUUGAUACAUACUCGCCAGUAAAAAGGAUAAGGUCGAUUCGAAUGUUAAUUGUCUUAACGAUGGUAUAUGGUCUUGAAAUCCAUCAAAUGGAUGUAAAAACAGCAUUCCUGAAUGGAGAAUUGGAGGAAGAAAUCUAUAUGGAACAACCCGAGGGUUUUGUGGUUCCAGAAAAAGAAAAUAAAGUGUGUAAACUUGUAAAGUCAUUGUGUGGACUUAAACAAACACCUAAAUAAUGGCAUGCGAAGUUUAAUCAAACCAUGUUGGCAAACGGGUUCAAGAUAAAUGAAUGUGAUAAAUGUGUCACGCCUCCAAACAAUAAUGACGGACAAGAACCAUAUACACUUACUCUACAAACAUUAUGAUGUAUACAAGGUUAUAAAAUAAUAACGAGUAGGAUGCUCGAUAAGCAUUGCAUAUGUACACGAGGGAGUUAACAAAACUAUAUAAUACUAGACGAUAUCUAUGAAGCCUUUAGUCAGUUUAACACACUAUACUACAAAUGACUAGUUGGCAUUAAGACCGUCAUGCCCAACCAAAGACGUGUACCUAUAAUCAAUACUAUACUAGGCAUAGACUGGCUCCAGAGAGAGUUGGAGCUCACCAAAAUAUCAGCUGAAACGACAAUAAAACCUAACGUGGACGUCUGCUAUCCAGAGGGUUUGAGCCUACAUUAGUAAAACAUGGUGGGCCCGAGACAUCAGUACAUGUACAACAUGUAUUGGUAUGAAAGCAGACAGAAAAACAGCUGAACAAAUACAGAAGCUCAUAUGAGUCAAAUAGCCAAGUGAAAAACGUAUGAGCCAACAAAUAACACAUGUACGAUAUGAACUGAUAACUUAUGCACCAACCUUAUUAGCAUCUUAUACAAUAUUUAAAGAAAAGCAUUCAAUUAUAAUUUAGGGCCUAUACCUUGCCUAGGUGAUGCUCUUAUCCUAUAAGUCGUACACAUGAUCACAAGAUGGCCUUCCGAAGGUGAUUUGAGGUAAGUAUAAAGAAUAUGUUGCUCUCAUACUCAUUGCUAUGAUAUCAUAGGUGUAAUUGUAAUCGUAGUCUGUAUCGUAUCCAGGUACGCCCCACCCAGGGGCUCACUAUGAGGGUCUGCCCGCAGGCCAUAUAUACCAUAUGCUGGCUCGAGUCAGGGGAAUCCAAUAAAGGAUGCUCCAGCUGACUUCAAAUACAAAUGAUGCCACAAAAGUGGGUACGCCCAAUAAUUGGGCUCACUAUAGUGGUCUGGUCUUGAUCUUGUGCACAGAAUCACGUCGAACGAUAUGCCAAGCCAAACCUAUGUACCUUCCCGUCAUUAAUGUUUAUCAAAUAAUGCCUUGAAGCCUAUGACAUGUUAGUUACGAUAUUGAUCAUCUAGAUAGCAUAUACAAGUACAACUAUGCUAUUACUAUUUACUUUUACUCCUGACGUGUGAUAUAUGUGUAUAUAUUGUGGUCUAAGGGCUUUAGGUAGAGAAACUUAACACAAGGAGAGAAAGAUAGGUACUUGUAAGCCUGAUGGUAGAAUGAGGGAGUAAUACGUAAGGCAAUGUAAAGGUUUUACUCACACAAUUUAUGAGAACUAUAUUAAUAUAAAUAGAAAGGAGCACAUGACGUAAGGUGGUGCCUUAGCGGCGAGGGAAGGUUUAGCUUUACAUACCUUAAUGAUUUAUUAGCUACAAUAGUAAUUUCAGCCUCAAAUAAUUCAACCCGCUACAUUGAAGCCUUUAUCCUUUCAAACACUAGUUCCUUUUAGCCGCUACGCGAUUCACUAGCUACAAGGAUAACAUAUAUGUCCGUAAGUAAUCCGUAGGAGCAUUUAGUAACUUAUUCCGAUAAUCUUCACUUAUGCCAAAAUUAAUUGAAUUUCUUAUCAAGAAUCCGGAGUAAAUUCUAAUUCUUCCAACUUAUACAAUUCAAGGGUAAAACUACACAAUCGAUUGAAAUUCCCAAAAGCUCAUCUUCAACCAAAAUUCUCCAUUUCCCCCCUUUUCCUUUCAUGAACCCAAUUCAAGUAGUAGUGCAAAGAUACAAAGUAAACAUCUCUAAGAUACUUAUUUAUAGCCAAAUUCAAGAAAGGGAUAGAGAAUUCACCUUCUAAAAUUCAACUCCAACUUUAGGUUAUUGAAGUCAACCCUCAAGGAUUACUUCAAAAUCAUCGUAAGAAUCCUUUCCUCCCUUUCUUCUUAUAGUGAAUUCUUGAAUACCAAGAGAAGGAGAAGAAGUCGAGUAUCAAUACCCCAGCUGCCGCCUAAUGUUUUCUCUGAAGGCUUGGUUUUAAUUUCUUAAUCGAUAAUGAAAAGAAAGAAAACAAAAGAGGGGUAACCUUACUUUUAGUUUCCUGGAAACAGUUUCCAGUGAACAAGGGAAAUAAUUAGGGAAAUUGUUUAAAAAGGGUGGCCCCCUACAACUGCGCACUUAUAUUACAUACAAAUACUAAGUAUAUAAAUAUUCCAUUCCGUUCGCUUUUGUUUCGUACCGCAACUACCUUUGUAAGCCAAAGUUCUACUUAAAUUAAGUUGUUAAUUCAAAAUUUUUUCCUCGAGAUGCUACAAAAUGCGUCUACAUUAAAGAUACUCCAAAUCACCAAGUCAUUGUUUGUUUAUAUGUAGAUGAUAUAUUGAUCAUUAGUAGAGACAUUUCUCACAUAAAGGCCACAAAGCGAAUGCUCGAGAGCAAGUUCAAUAUGAAAGAUCUUGGAGUUGCGGAUGUGAUCUUAGGAAUAAAAAUUCACAAAACUCCACAAGGGUUGGCAUUUUCACAGUCUCAUUACAUAAAAAAGGUACUUGACAAAUUCAAGUAUUUAGAAUUUAGUAUUGCCAAGACUUCAUUGAACGUGAGCUUCACACUUCAAAAGAAUGAGGGUGAAAGUGACUCACGGUUGGAGUAAGCAAGAGUGUUGGGAUGUUCAAUGUAUAUCAUGAAGUGUACAUGACUAGACAUAGCAUGCGCUAUUAGUAAAUUGAGACGGUACACGAGUAAUCCCAGUAAAACUCAUUGGAUGGCAAUGAAAAAAGUUUUGGGGUAUAUUAAAUACUCUCAAGACUAUGCUUAGCAUUAUAACAAAUAUUCCAUGGUACUUGAAGGAUAUAGUGAUGCAAAAUGGAUCACCGGAUUGAAUGAAGUAAAAUCCACAAGUGGAUAUGUAUUUACUAUCGGUGGAGGAGCAGUCUCUUGGAAAUCAUCCAAACAAACAUGUAUUGCUCGCUCUACAAUGGAAUCUGAGUUUAUCACAUUGGAUAAAGUUGGUGAAGAAGCAAAAUGACUCUGGAAUUUCAUGGAAGAUAUUCCUUAUUGGCCCAAACCAGUGGUACCAGUAUGUAUACACUGCGAUAGCCAAAUGGCAAUAGGUAGAGCAGGGAGCAUGAUGUACAACGGUAAAUCUCGUCACAUAAGAUGGAGACAUAAUACCGUUAGAGAACUUCUCUCUAGUAGAAUUAUGAAUGUUGACUAUGUGAAGUCAAAGGAUAAUAUGUCAGAUCCACUUACAAAAGGUCUGUCUAGAGAAGGAAUUGAGAGGACAUCCAAUGGAAUGGGUUUAAGGUCUAGGACAAGUCAGCAUGGUGGUAACUCUACCUAGCAGACUGGAGAUCCCAAGAGCUAGGUUCAAGGAGAUCAAACAAAGUUAUGCCUGACAGGUUCAACAUUGUCAAUAUACCCAACCCAUUCUCAUGAUGUAGACAAUGUUUAGUAAACAAGGAUAAAACUUAAGGUAAGAAGUCUUUUAAUGAUUAUCUAAAUUUGGUAGAUUUGAUCAAAUAGUUUAAUCUACAGGAUUGAACAUUUAGAAAUCACCUAUGUGAGGGUGAAGUCGAAGCCAUUUUAAGGAGAAUGUUAGUAAGGGUCUAUUCUCUAAGCUCUCAUGAGACCGGGACGUGUUCAUGGAUAAAAUGAACAAAAUCGUGAAAACCAUAAAUAGUAAAAGGGUGGUUAUGUGAUAUGUGUUGUCUAGGUGUACAUUAAAGAUCGACAGUUCAAAGAUAUCAAAUCUACCGAUUGACCGAGUGCACCCGAUACAUGUUUACUAUGAAAAGUUCAAAGGGAUACCCACUUAUACAGAUGCAAUCAGUCUUUACUUGAUGAUCACAUAUUUGUCCAUAAAAUUUUACAAAGAAUAUUCAUUCCCCAUUCAUGUGGGGGUUUGUUGAGUUCAAUUGGUAUGAAUGGAAAAUAGAGGGACACAACCUUUGAGGAAAAGAUAUAUUGUUUUGGAAAAGAAGUGACUGUUCAGAUACUUGUGUUUGUUCAGAAAAAUACAUAAUGUUUCAAAUGAACAGACAUGAAUCUUCGAAAGGAUACACCUUUUUAGAUAAACCAUUGCCACCUUUCGGAAGGGGCACUUAAUGGCUAUAUAAACCUGCAUUUAUCCACAGGUUUGGUAACAAAAAAUUUUCUGCAAUAAAGCUCUUCUUGUUUGCUGAAAAUAUACUCUCUGUGAUCAUCUAAUCGUUGAGUGAGUUCAAAGAGAAUCCGAUCGUUUGAGGUACCACUACAGUCGAAUUGUUAGGCCAUUUUAUCCUGGGAGAAAAAUUCCGCAACCUCGGAUACUUGAGGGGAAUUAUUUCCUUAAGGACACUCCGUGAAGUCGAAGGACUUGACCUUUUCUGUUUCAUCUAAAUUUUUGAAAAGCAAAAAAAAAUAUUCUUUGAAAGGUCUUUUUGAUCUUGAGUUGAGGGUGUUAUAUAACUUCAUAGGUGUUCUUGUUUUUAGACUUGAACUUGUAUUGAAGUUGUUGUGUCUAAAUACAGAUUCUUGUACCCGAAAUCAUUGAAAACAACAGUUGUCAGUUUUCUAUUGUAUCUAUCUCUUAAUAAAUCAUAAGAAAACAUGGACGGUAUUACUAAUUUAUCAUUUAUCCAUUUAGACUUUCAAAAACAAUUAUAGGGGUAAAAUGAAAAUUUUAAUUAUUUUUAUGUUGAUUUAUUAAAUGUAUAAAUAAUUUGAGAUAAUCACUUAUAAGGUGUUGGAUAAAUAGUAUAAGACGGAUCAGAGUACAUAAAUUGCUGAAUUCACUUCAUAUAAGGGUAGCUUCUAGUGUUUUAAGGUGGCUCAAAAAUUAAUUCAGAUUUCUAGGCUCCUUUUGUAUUAUUUUAGGCAAAAUACAUACAUAGCUACUUAAUUUUUUUUCUAUCUUUCCACUUAGAUACUUGUAUUUAGCUCUGCACCUAUUGAACACUUAAUUUCUGAAGAAAAUAUGUCAAUUAGAUACAAUUUGCUGAUGUAGCAUAGUUCGUACACUACACUGAAUUUGGAAGUGUGAAAUGUUACAUUUUUUAAUUUUUUUUCUUAAAUAUCUUUAUCUUUUUCAUUGUCUUUUAAUCUCUUCUUUCUCAUUAUUUUUCUUUUUAAAAUAUUUUUUUGAGAAAAUACAUAAAAAAAUUCCUGAUCUUGUCCGAUUUUUUUUUAAAAAAAUACUUAAACUUUACUUUCGACCUAUUACCCCACGAAUCUUACUUAAAUCGUUGUAAAUACACCAUUUUUUUGCUGAAUUUCAAUUACAAGAAAAAGAGUGAAUGCACACACCAAUCAGAUGUUGCCACGUGUUAAAUAAUUUAAUUUCAUAUUUUAUUUAUAUUUUUGAAUAAAGUUUUCCUUUUUAUUUUAU
This 9590-nucleotide long non-coding RNA is filed under the name Capsicum annuum. Its description in RNAcentral is "long non-coding RNA (CANN_LNC022058)". The record is from RNAcentral. Lineage: Eukaryota; Viridiplantae; Streptophyta; Magnoliopsida; Solanales; Solanaceae.